AUUGAACGCUGGCGGCAGGCCUAACACAUGCAAGUCGAACGGUAACAGGAAGACGCUUGCUUCUUUGCUGACGAGUGGCGGACGGGUGAGUAAUGUUUGGGAAACUGCCUGAUGGAGGGGGAUAACUACUGGAAACGGUAGCUAAUACCGCAUAAUGUCGAAAGACCAAAGAGGGGGACCUUCGGGCCUCUUGCCAUCGGAUGUGCCCAGAUGGGAUUAGCUAGUAGGUGGGGUAACGGCUCACCUAGGCGACGAUCCCUAGCUGGUCUGAGAGGAUGACCAGCCACACUGGAACUGAGACACGGUCCAGACUCCUACGGGAGGCAGCAGUGGGGAAUAUUGCACAAUGGGCGCAAGCCUGAUGCAGCUAUGCCGCGUGUAUGAAGAAGGCCUUCGGGUUGUAAAGUACUUUCAGCGGGGAGGAAGGGAGUAAAGUUAAUACCUUUGCUCAUUGACGUUACCCGCAGAAGAAGCACCGGCUAACUCCGUG
Molecule: ribosomal RNA, 490 nt
Filed under: uncultured bacterium
Lineage: Bacteria
Description: partial 16S ribosomal RNA
Rfam family: Bacterial small subunit ribosomal RNA
Source: RNAcentral